This 1019-nucleotide ribosomal RNA is filed under the name Francisella-like endosymbiont. RNAcentral's name for it is "SSU rRNA". It matches the Rfam family "Bacterial small subunit ribosomal RNA", at positions 157 to 1178 of the family's 1533-position model. Lineage: Bacteria; Pseudomonadati; Pseudomonadota; Gammaproteobacteria; Thiotrichales; Francisellaceae. The record is from RNAcentral.
GGGGAAGUUAUACCGCAUAGUAUCUGUGGAUUAAAGGUGGCUUUUGGGCUGUCGCAGAUGGAUGAGCCUGCGUUGGAUUACUAGUUGGUGGGGUAAGGGCCUACCAAGGCUACGAUCCAUAGCUGAUUUGAGAGGAUGAUCAGCCACAUUGGGACUGAGACACGGCCCAAACUCCUACGGGAGGCAGCAGUGAGGAAUAUUGGACAAUGGGGGCAACCCUGAUCCAGCAAUGCCAUGUGUGUGAAGAAGGCCUUAGGGUUGUAAAGCACUUUAUUUGGGGAAGAAAGCUUUGAGGUUAAUAGCCUUGAGGAAGGACGUUACCCAAAGAAUAAGCACCGGCUAACUCCGUGCCAGCAGCCGCGGUAAUACGGGGGGUGCAAGCGUUAAUCGGAAUUACUGGGCGUAAAGGGUCUGUAGGUGGUUUGUUAAGUCAGAUGUGAAAGCCCAGGGCUCAACCUUGGAACUGCAUUUGAUACUGGCAAACUAGAGUACGGUACAGGAAUGGGGAAUUUCUGGUGUAGCGGUGAAAUGCGUAGAGAUCAAAAGGAACACCAAUGGCGAAGGCAACAUUCUGGACCGAUACUGACACUGAGGGACGAAAGCGUGGGGAUCAAACAGGAUUAGAUACCCUGGUAGUCCAUGCUGUAAACGAUGAGUACUAACUGUUGGAGUCGGUGUAAAGGCUCUAGUGGCGCAAGCUAACGCGAUAAGUACUCCGCCUGGGGACUACGGCCGCAAGGCUAAAACUCAAAGGAAUUGACGGGGACCCGCACAAGCGGUGGAGCAUGUGGUUUAUUCAUGCAACGCGAAAACCUUACCUGGUCUUGACAUCCUGCAAGCUUUCUAGAGAUAGAUUGGUUGCCUUUCGGAACACAAUGACAGGUGCUGCCCGGCUUGUUGUCAACUUCGUGUUGUGAAAUGUCGGGUUAUUCCGCACCAACGCAAACCCCUAUUGAAGUUACCAUCAUUACAUUGGGUACUCUAAUGUACGGUCGCUUAAAGGCGAAGAAAAGGUGGGG